AUUGAGCGCUGGCGGCAGGCCUAACACAUGCAAGUCGAGCGGAUGAAGGGAGCUUGCUCCUGGAUUCAGCGGCGGACGGGUGAGUAAUGCCUAGGAAUCUGCCUGGUAGUGGGGGAUAACGUCCGGAAACGGGCGCUAAUACCGCAUACGUCCUGAGGGAGAAAGUGGGGGAUCUUCGGACCUCACGCUAUCAGAUGAGCCUAGGUCGGAUUAGCUAGUUGGUGGGGUAAAGGCCUACCAAGGCGACGAUCCGUAACUGGUCUGAGGGGAUGAUCAGUCACACUGGAACUGAGACACGGUCCAGACUCCUACGGGAGGCAGCAGUGGGGAAUAUUGGUCAAUGGGCGAAAGCCUGAUCCAGCCAUGCCGCGUGUGUGAAUAAGGUCUUCGGAUUGUAAAGCACUUUAAGUUGGGAGGAAGGGCAGUAAGUUAAUACCUUGCUGUUUUGACGUUACCAACAGAAUAAGCACCGGCUAACUUCGUG
RNAcentral lists this ribosomal RNA (484 nucleotides) under uncultured bacterium. RNAcentral describes it as "partial 16S ribosomal RNA". It matches the Rfam family "Bacterial small subunit ribosomal RNA", at positions 30 to 507 of the family's 1533-position model. The record is from RNAcentral.